CGGUUGAUCCUGCCAGAGGCCGCUGCUAUCCGGCUGGGACUAAGCCAUGCUAGUCUAGGGGCUUGUACUCCUUCGGGGGUGCAAGCACCGGCGGACGGCUCAGUAACACGUGGACAACCUGCCCUCGGGUGGGGGAUAACCCCGGGAAACUGGGGCUAAUCCCCCAUAGGUGAUGGGUGCUGGAAUGCCCCAUCUCCGAAAGCGCUUAGCGCCCGAGGAUGGGUCUGCGGCGGAUUAGGUAGUUGGUGGGGUAACGGCCCCCCAAGCCUAAGAUCCGUACGGGCUGUGGGAGCAGGAGCCCGGAGAUGGACCCUGAGACAAGGGUCCAGGCCCUACGGGGCGCAGCAGGCGCGAAACCUCCGCAAUGCGGGAAACCGCGACGGGGUUAGCCGGAGUGCCCGUGCAUUGCACGGGCUGUCGGGGUGCCUAAACAGCACCCCAUAGCAAGGGCCGGGCAAGGCCGGUGGCAGCCGCCGCGGUAAGACCGGCGGCCCGAGUGGCGGCCACUCUUAUUGGGCCUAAAGCGUCCGUAGCCGGCCCAGUAAGUCCCCCGGGAAAUCUGGUCGCUUAACGAUCAGACUUCCGGGGGAUACUGCUGGGCUAGGGACCG
This 610-nucleotide ribosomal RNA is filed under the name uncultured archaeon. Its description in RNAcentral is "bacterial SSU rRNA". It matches the Rfam family "Archaeal small subunit ribosomal RNA", at positions 5 to 601 of the family's 1478-position model. The record is from RNAcentral.